GACGAACGCUGGCGGCGUGCUUAACACAUGCAAGUCGAACGGAAAGGCCCUGCUUUUGUGGGGUGCUCGAGUGGCGAACGGGUGAGUAACACGUGAGUAACCUGCCCUUGACUUUGGGAUAACUUCAGGAAACUGGGGCUAAUACCGGAUAGGAGCUCCUGCUGCAUGGUGGGGGUUGGAAAGUUUCGGCGGUUGGGGAUGGACUUGCGGCUUAUCAGCUUGUUGGUGGGGUAGUGGCUUACCAAGGCUUUGACGGGUAGCCGGCCUGAGAGGGUGACCGGCCACAUUGGGACUGAGAUACGGCCCAGACUCCUACGGGAGGCAGCAGUGGGGAAUAUUGCACAAUGGGCGGAAGCCUGAUGCAGCAACGCCGCGUGCUGGAUGACGGCCUUCGGGUUGUAAACCGCUUUCGCCUGUGACGAAGCGUGAGUGACGGUAAUGGGUAAAGAAGCACCGGCUAACUACGUG
Molecule: ribosomal RNA, 468 nt
Filed under: uncultured bacterium
Lineage: Bacteria
Description: partial 16S ribosomal RNA
Rfam family: Bacterial small subunit ribosomal RNA
Source: RNAcentral